AGAGUUUGAUCCUGGCUCAGGAUGAACGCUGGCGGCGUGCCUAAUACAUGCAAGUCGAGCGAACAGAUAAGGAGCUUGCUCCUUUGACGUUAGCGGCGGACGGGUGAGUAACACGUGGAUAACCUACCUAUAAGACUGGGAUAACUUCGGGAAACCGGAGCUAAUACCGGAUAACAUAUUGAACCGCAUGGUUCAAUAGUGAAAGGCGGCUUUGCUGUCACUUAUAGAUGGAUCCGCGCCGUAUUAGCUAGUUGGUAAGGUAACGGCUUACCAAGGCAACGAUACGUAGCCGACCUGAGAGGGUGAUCGGCCACACUGGAACUGAGACACGGUCCAGACUCCUACGGGAGGCAGCAGUAGGGAAUCUUCCGCAAUGGGCGAAAGCCUGACGGAGCAACGCCGCGUGAGUGAUGAAGGUCUUCGGAUCGUAAAACUCUGUUAUCAGGGAAGAACAAAUGUGUAAGUAACUGUGCACAUCUUGACGGUACCUGAUCAGAAAGCCACGGCUAACUACGUGCCAGCAGCCGCGGUAAUACAA
RNAcentral lists this ribosomal RNA (538 nucleotides) under Staphylococcus warneri. RNAcentral's name for it is "bacterial SSU rRNA". It matches the Rfam family "Bacterial small subunit ribosomal RNA", at positions 8 to 528 of the family's 1533-position model. Lineage: Bacteria; Bacillati; Bacillota; Bacilli; Caryophanales; Staphylococcaceae. The record is from RNAcentral.